Molecule: ribosomal RNA, 497 nt
Filed under: uncultured bacterium
Lineage: Bacteria
Description: partial 16S ribosomal RNA
Rfam family: Bacterial small subunit ribosomal RNA
Source: RNAcentral
GACGAACGCUGGCGGCGUGCCUAAUACAUGCAAGUUGAGCGAUGAAGAUUGGUGCUUGCCCCAAUUUGAAGAGCAGCGAACGGGUGAGUAACGCGUGGGGAAUCUGCCUUUGAGCGGGGGACAACAUUUGGAAACGAAUGCUAAUACCGCAUAACAACUUUAAACAUAAGUUUUAAGUUUGAAAGAUGCAAUUGCAUCACUCAAAGAUGAUCCCGCGUUGUAUUAGCUAGUUGGUGAGGUAAAGGCUCACCAAGGCGAUGAUACAUAGCCGACCUGAGAGGGUGAUCGGCCACAUUGGGACUGAGACACGGCCCAAACUCCUACGGGAGGCAGCAGUAGGGAAUCUUCGGCAAUGGACGAAAGUCUGAACGAGCAACGCCGCGUGAGGGAAGAAGGUUUUCGGAUCGUAAAACUCUGUUGGUAGAGAAGAACGUUGGUGAGAGUGGAAAGCUCAUCAAGUGACGGUAACUACCCAGAAAGGGACGGCUAACUACGUG